GAUGAACGCUGGCGGCGUGCCUAAUACAUGCAAGUCGAGCGAACAGACGAGGAGCUUGCUCCUCUGACGUUAGCGGCGGACGGGUGAGUAACACGUGGAUAACUUACCUAUAAGACUGGGAUAACUUCGGGAAACCGGAGCUAAUACCGGAUAAUAUAUUGAACCGCAUGGUUCAAUAGUGAAAGACGGUUUUGCUGUCACUUAUAGAUGGAUCCGCGCCGCAUUAGCUAGUUGGUAAGGUAACGGCUUACCAAGGCAACGAUGCGUAGCCGACCUGAGAGGGUGAUCGGCCACACUGGAACUGAGACACGGUCCAGACUCCUACGGGAGGCAGCAGUAGGGAAUCUUCCGCAAUGGGCGAAAGCCUGACGGAGCAAUGCCGCGUGAGUGAUGAAGGUCUUCGGAUCGUAAAACUCUGUUAUUAGGGAAGAACAAAUGUGUAAGUAACUAUGCACGUCUUGACGGUACCUAAUCAGAAAGCCACGGCUAACUACGUG
This 497-nucleotide ribosomal RNA is filed under the name uncultured bacterium. Its description in RNAcentral is "partial 16S ribosomal RNA". It matches the Rfam family "Bacterial small subunit ribosomal RNA", at positions 28 to 507 of the family's 1533-position model. The record is from RNAcentral.